AGGUAACUGCAGAUGCGAUAGAAGGAGAUGCCGUUAAAACAAAACAAGAUAAGAAGCUGAUGAGCUUUACACCAGGUGAGAAUAAAUCAACCAUACAUGAAAACCCAUUUGGUAUGCUGGAAUAAUCCUUCUAGAUCAACUUACCUGAGACAAAAAACAAUAGUGUGGAGUGUAUUAUAUAGUGUAAGGCCAUUAAAAUAACCAUUAUAUCCAGUUUGAAGUAUCCGUAUGUGUUCAGUCAAUGACAACAGACUGUUCUAUUAUAUCUGGAGUCUGUAGCCUCAUAUACGUCCCCCAUGCUUUUCCAUAACUACAAAACUGAAAAGAAAUUGGUCUGGAUGGUUACACACAGUUCAAAAAUAACCUGAAAACUGGUCUGCCUUCAAUUAGAUGCUGCUGGAACAAAGAUUAGGGGAGUUCUACAUGAUCGUGGGCUGGAUUGCUGCCAUUCACCAGCUCCAGAAGAAGCAAAAUUAAAUCUGCUGUAGACCACAUGGACAAAGAAAAGACCUUUAAGGGGGAAGCUUCGUGAUCAGAUGUGGCAUAGCUGUCAGAGGUGGGGCUGAUGUUCUACUACAGGACUGAGGCUGCUGCAGGAGUCGGUUUGGGUGUGUCUGCUUCUCCCUCGCUAUCUUUCUGGAGGCCUGUCAUGAGUUUCUGGUGAUGGUGGUGUGUUUCCUCACCGUAUGAAGCUGGUCUUGCCGGUGGAGUACUGACCCACCAGGAGCACCAUGGGCUUGUUGUCAAAGUCUGCAUCCUCCAGUGCCGGGGAGUGGAACUCGUGGAACUUGUAGCUCUCCUCCAGGGGCAGCAGCUUGGUUUUGUAGAGCUUCUUCAGGCCUUCACUGACCGUCUGGAACACCUCCGGCUCCUUCUUCCUGCGGUCAUCAGUUCCCAGCCAGCUGAACAUGGUCGCUUGUGGUGUAAUUCAACCUCUAGUAGGGGUGAAUUUGCAACAAAAAAAUGCAGUUUGUUGAUGCACUAGGCCACUAAAUGUGAUUUCUUGUUUAAAAGUCAAGCUAAAAGUGAGAUUUCCCCACAUAUAUGUUGAAAAUACUUAAUUCUGCAGGUUAUUUUUUUUUAUGCAAAUCUAUUUAAAAGUCUUGAAAAUAGCGUUUGUGUCACACUAAUUGUAUGUAAAUGUGCACAAAAAUGAAAUAUCAGCCUGUAAUCCUGCACUAGAUGUUAAUUUUUAGGUUAUGUUGAGGAAUUAGUCUGUGCAAAUGCCUAAUUAAACUGCAAAACAAUCUAAUUAUAAGGAAUCCACCUGACUAUUUAAAUGCGCUCUCAUCCAGGCCACUAAUAACAACAAUAAUAAAA
This is a long non-coding RNA of Amphiprion ocellaris (clown anemonefish), 1320 nucleotides long. RefSeq lists it as uncharacterized. The record is from RefSeq and is a predicted model, not a curated record. The transcript has 2 exons. NCBI's taxonomy places the organism in Eukaryota, Metazoa, Chordata, Actinopteri, Pomacentridae.